Molecule: ribosomal RNA, 253 nt
Filed under: uncultured bacterium
Lineage: Bacteria
Description: partial 16S ribosomal RNA
Rfam family: Bacterial small subunit ribosomal RNA
Source: RNAcentral
UACGGGGGGUGCGAGCGUUGUCCGGAAUCACUGGGCGUAAAGGGCGCGUAGGUGGUCUGAUAAGGGUGUGGUGAAAGUCCGGGGCUCAACCCCGGAUCUGCCGUGCCGACUGUCAGACUCGAGGACUGUAGAGGCAGGCGGAAUUCCGGGUGUAGAGGUGGAAUGCGUAGAGAUCCGGAGGAAGACCGGUGGCGAAGGCGGCCUGCUGGGCAGUUUCUGACACUGAGGCGCGACAGCGUGGGGAGCAAACAGG